AUACGGAGGGCGCAAGCGUUGCCCGGAAUCACUGGGUGUAAAGGGUGCGUAGGCGGGGCUGUAAGUCAGAUGUGAAAGCCCUCGGCUCAACCGGGGAAUUGCCUCUGAUACUGCAGCUCUUGAGUCCCGGAGAGGCCGCUGGAAUUCCUGGUGUAGCGGUGAAAUGCGUAGAUAUCAGGAGGAACACCGGAGGCGAAGGCGGGCGGCUGGACGGGGACUGACGCUGAGGCACGAAAGCGUGGGGAGCAAACAGGAUUAGAAACCCUAGUAGUCC
This 274-nucleotide ribosomal RNA is filed under the name uncultured bacterium. RNAcentral's name for it is "partial 16S ribosomal RNA". It matches the Rfam family "Bacterial small subunit ribosomal RNA", at positions 523 to 796 of the family's 1533-position model. The record is from RNAcentral.